UUUUUGGGUCAUGGGUCAUGGGUCAGCUCAUUAAUUCCCCACCUAUUCCUGCACCUUAUCUCUUCUCUUCCCCGUCAUUUCUUCUCCUUUUUUCUUCGCCAUUUUUUUCUCCAGGCUUCUCCCAAGUUCAUUUCCUCAUUUAAUUUCAAAAAAAUCCCUCGAGCGCUCGGGUUCCCUUCUUCUCUCCCGUUGUUCGGUUCCCAGUAAGAUUUCCAUCUCAUCCCCUUCUUAUAAAAGAUGAAGAACUUUUUGGAAGAGUUCAGUGGAGAAGAAGAUGAGGGUUUACUUCAAAAAAUAUAUUAUUGUGAGUUAAUUUGCAGAAUAUGGAUGUGCAAGCAAGGACACAAUAGGGGCUUGGAAUUUUAUGGAUGCUCGAGAUACAAGGGACCUAAUUGCAAGGGUUAUAACUUCUUCGAAUGGGUGGGUGAUACUAAGAACAUCACAAAAAGGCUGGAAAGGCUGGAAAAAUGAUGAGGUUUUGAAAAAAUACUGAAUGAUGUAAUUUUAUAUUUAAAAUUUAUAAGUAUCAUUGUACUGAUAAUGUUGCUCUGUGUUAUAUUCAAAUGAUCGGUAAUAUGUCAGUGGAUGACUAAUUUAUCCAAAUAUCCUAUUGUAAACGAAUGUUCAAACUGGUUAUGGUUAUUUGUUAUGGUUCAGUUAUGAUU
This is a long non-coding RNA of Asparagus officinalis (garden asparagus), 665 nucleotides long. RefSeq lists it as uncharacterized. The transcript has 2 exons. The record is from RefSeq and is a predicted model, not a curated record. NCBI's taxonomy places the organism in Eukaryota, Viridiplantae, Streptophyta, Magnoliopsida, Asparagales, Asparagaceae.